Molecule: non-coding RNA, 112 nt
Organism: Methanosarcina sp. Ant1
Lineage: Archaea; Methanobacteriati; Methanobacteriota; Methanomicrobia; Methanosarcinales; Methanosarcinaceae
Source: Rfam
GGGGGUAGGUCCCCCGGAUUCGCAUUACAGGAUGUGAGUUCAAACCACCAUAAGCUGCUUUGGUCAAAAACCACGGUGGUUGUGUGCCAAGAAAGCUCAUUUACGCAUCAGU